GCCGGGAAGGGGGCGGAAUCCUCCGCCCUCGACGCACGCGCGGUAGCCGCCCGUCGCCGCCGCAGACAUGAGCCGCUGCAAGUUCGUCGGCUCAAACAUAGGUACAGUGAAGAUCCUUAAGUCACAAACGGAGCACCAACUUCACAAAAUUCCCUCACUCAAGCUGCUUGGCUGAACUACGUAGUGUUGACCUGCAGCUUCUGCUAUAUGGAUCAUUUGAAUCUCCAAUUGUUACUUCAAACCUAGUUGUAACCUACUGAAAAAAAAUAAUGGAAUACAAGGUUGCUAAACUAAAGAAUAAAAAUAUCCUGUCUUAUGCACUGUAAGAUACCACACUACAAGUUAUGGGUCCCAAGCCAACCUCUUCCAAUGCCUUAAAAGAAUUUUUCUUUUCUAGAAAUUCAGCUGUUGACUACACUGGAUUUACUUAAGCUUUGUGACUGUUUUGAGCUGGUAUUUCUUGAAAGCUUACCAAAUGUACAGGUUACACAAAUAUCUAAGGGCCUAAUUUGCUUAACUCCAUAACACAAUGUUGAUCCUUAUUUGUUACUUGUAUUGCUUAUAAGAAAGUGCAUAUUGGUUAAAUACAUAAGAAUAUUUUAGCUCCA
Molecule: long non-coding RNA, 608 nt
Organism: Alligator mississippiensis (American alligator)
Lineage: Eukaryota; Metazoa; Chordata; Crocodylia; Alligatoridae
Exons: 2
Source: RefSeq, a predicted model, not a curated record